UACGGCUAUAUAGCGUUGAAACACCGGUUUCCGUACGAUCACCGAAGUUAAGCAACGUUGAGCCUGGUCAGUAUCUAGAUGUGUAAUGGCGUUGGAAUACCACGGUCUGU
Acanthosepion pharaonis is the source of this 110-nucleotide non-coding RNA. The record is from the annotation of a GenBank genome assembly. Lineage: Eukaryota; Metazoa; Mollusca; Cephalopoda; Sepiida; Sepiidae.